AGCAUUCUCAUCAACCCCUAAGUUCCAAUUCUAAUAAUUAUCCACCCAAGAGCCCAUAUUCGCCAUAUUAAAAGAAGAAGUAAUGCAAACAUCAUACAUAAGUGGAAAAAGCUCGCUCAAAGUAGUUGAACCCAACCAACAAUGAUUCCAAAAGAUAAAAGACUCGUCAUUCCCCAAUUUGCAAGAGAUGUUAUUGGAAAACCACGAAUGACCAUGAACUUUGAACCCACACACCGCACUCACAUACCUUCACCAAAGAGAGGAUUUC
This 268-nucleotide long non-coding RNA is filed under the name Lathyrus oleraceus (garden pea). RNAcentral's name for it is "Pisum sativum (pea) long non-coding RNA (PSAT_LNC026940)". Lineage: Eukaryota; Viridiplantae; Streptophyta; Magnoliopsida; Fabales; Fabaceae. The record is from RNAcentral.